This is an RNA transcript of Syzygium oleosum, 1153 nucleotides long. RefSeq lists it as uncharacterized. NCBI's taxonomy places the organism in Eukaryota, Viridiplantae, Streptophyta, Magnoliopsida, Myrtales, Myrtaceae. The record is from RefSeq and is a predicted model, not a curated record. The transcript has 5 exons.
UCUCUCUCUGUUAUUCCUCAGAUCCCCCCCUUCCGCCAAACACCUCUCCGUCGCUCCCUCCUCCCCUCCACCAGCCAUGAUGGCCACCCUCACCGCCACCGCCGCCGUCGCCUCCUCCUCCGUCGCCAUCCGCCCGUUCCGCUCCCACAAGCCCUCCCGCGCGCCCGCCGGGAUCCGGUGCUCCGUCGCCGAGGGCCCCGCGAUCUCCCAGCCGAGGGCCGCCGGCGGGGGACUGGUUGAUUGCGUGGUGGUCGGGAGCGGGAUCAGCGGGCUCUGCAUCGCCCAGGCGCUCGCCACGAAGCACCGCGACAGGGCCCCCGACGUGGUCGUCACCGAGGCCAGGGACCGCGUCGGCGGCAACAUCACCACCGUCGAGAGGGACGGCUACCUGUGGGAGGAGGGCCUCAAUAGUUUCCAGCCAUUCCGAGAUUUGAAGAAAAUGGAGAGGACAAAGCAAUCGUUGGAUAGAUGCUCAAGAACACUCAGACUUCACUUGCAGAAGAACAAGAACGCAAUCGCCAGUUGACAAAGCCUGUAACUGCUGAAAAGGUAGGAUAUAGUUCUAUGUAUUGUUGAUAUUCAAUAGUUGUGUACUUUUUCUCUCACUGACGAUGCAAAUUUCUCUUUUAUAAGUAAUGUCCCUGUUCCAAUCAUUUAAGUAUCACUCAGUGUUUUUAUGCAUGUUCUUGAUCUGAAUCCUGUGGUAUGUUCCUAUUGUCGGGAGAAGAGUGAAAGCAUCCAGAACAAGCUUGAGUCAUUUUCGAAGAAGCAGAAGUUGCCCAUAACAAGCGCUUUGGCCAUGUCAGAUGCUUCAGACCCUUCUACAGAGAAAGUAGUAGCACAAGAUGCAAACUCAAAAGGAGUGACUAAUUGCGUUGUCCCUGCUCAUAGGAGGUCAAAAGUAAGGGGUGUGCUCCUGCAAAAUCCUGAAGAUGUAUAGCUAGACGUGGGAAGUUAUCCUUCAAGAUGGUUUACUUUGUUCUGUAAGUACAACAUUAGGUGUCGGAAUCAGGAGCAAGAUGUUACACCCAACCCUUAGGAUAAACGCUUAGUUUUUUAUUUUUAUUUUUGAAGUUAUAAUUUCAAGCCUGUCCAUGUUUGUGAAAUCUAAUUGAGCUGGUACAUAUUCUUGCCUAGAAGGUCUUGCAAUUUA